This is an RNA transcript of Carya illinoinensis, 3904 nucleotides long. RefSeq lists it as uncharacterized. NCBI's taxonomy places the organism in Eukaryota, Viridiplantae, Streptophyta, Magnoliopsida, Fagales, Juglandaceae. The transcript has 4 exons. The record is from RefSeq and is a predicted model, not a curated record.
UAUAUUAUAGAGUUUAAGCCAAUAGCCUCCUUCACGCCUUUCUAACAGGUCGUCUCGGCCAACUUUCCAUCCCCUCCGCUUCACUCCUUGCAUCGGACAUGAGAUCGCGCUUCGGUUAGACAAUUCUACGAACAGUUGACACACUCUCUCACUCUAUUCGUUGUCCACAAGGCAAUGCAACAACCACCGCCACCACCGUGAAACGCUACCCGCAUCCACAAGUUCCACCCCUUAACUCCACCGCCCACAGUCAGUUCCUGCACUAACCCACUCCCACCAAAACCCAUCACUUUCACUCCUUCAAUUCCAACUCUUUCUUUUUUCUCGUCAGAUGGCUUCUACAAGCUCAAUUCCCAUCGUUCCUUCCACUCUUGCUCUACCCGAGGACAUGGCUGCCAGGGCCUUGAACAAGCGCUAUGAAGGCCUCGUUACCGUGCGAACUAAGGCCAUCAAGGGGAAAGGAGCCUGGUACUGGACCCACUUAGAGCCUAUUCUCCUUCGCAACCCAGACACGAACCUCCCCAAAGCCGUCAAACUUAAGUGCUCCUUGUGCGAUGCCGUUUUCUCCGCCUCCAAUCCCUCCAGAACAGCCUCGGAGCACUUGAAGAAGGGCGCUUGCCCUAAUUACAGCUCCGUUUCCCGACUCAGCAGCGCUUCUCUCUCGCCUUUACCGAUAUCCUCGGUGCCGUCGCCGAUACCGUCUUUACACAAUCACAGAAAGCGAAGCUCUCAAAUGGUUACUCAUCCUUUGCAUUCAUGCCCUUCUUCUUCGUACCAAGCUAGUUCUUUAGCUUGGGUCGAGUCUUCGCGGUUCUAUCACAACCCAAACCACGACGGAUCGCAUUUCUCGCCACGCCAGAACACGGUUGGCACGGCGCGUAACUCGGGGCUAAAUCAGCACCAUUUGGUCUUGUCGGGUGGGAAAGAGGAUUUGGAUGCAUUGGCAUUGUUGGAAGAUAGUGUGAAAAGGCUCAAGAGUCCUAAAGGGUCAUCUGGUCCUGCUUUGAGCAAGGAUCAGAUUGAUUCCGCACUUCAAUUGCUCGCAGAAUGGUUCUACGAGUCAUGUGGGUCUGUCUCAGUUUCGAGCCUCGAGCACCCCAAGUUUAGAGCGUUUCUAAACCAGGUGGGUUUGCCUGGGUUAUUGCGGCGCGAGCUCACGGGUGCUCGGCUUGAUGCUAAGUUCGAUGAGGUGAAGACUAAGUCGGAUGCUAGAAUAAGAGACGCUAUGUUUCUUCAGGUUGCUAGUGAUGGAUGGAAGGGAAAGAGUUGUUGUGGCUUUACUUGUGAUGGAGAGAAUUUGAUUAAAUUUACGGUUAAUCUUCCGAAUGGGACAAGUGAUUUUCAAAAGGUGGUGUUCACAGGAGGAAGGGUGUCAGCGAAGUAUGCAGAGGAGGUUUUAUGGGAAGCGGUAACAGGUGUGUGUGGGAGUGGUGUGCAGAGAUGUGUAGGGAUAGUUGCAGAUAAGUAUAAGGCCAAGGCAUUGAGGAACUUGGAGACUCAGAAUCAUUGGAUGAUAAAUCUCUCUUGUCAGCUUCAGGGAUUUGUAAGUUUGAUCAAGGAUUUUAACAAAGAACUUCCACUUUUCAGGACUGUCACCGAGAACUGCAUAAAAGUUGCAAAUUUCGUAAAUAAUACUUCUCAAGUUAGGAAUAGUUUCCUCAAGUACAAGAUGCAGGAACUUGAGCAUGCUGGGUUGCUGCGAGUUCCUUCGCCAAAAUGUGACACUUCCAAGAAUUUUGAACCGGUUUUUUCGAUGUUGGAAGAUAUACUCAGCUGUGCCCAGGUGCUCCAAAUGGUUGUACUGGAUGAAACGUAUAAGGUGGCAUGUGUGGAGGAUUCAAUUGCGAGAGAGGUUGCUGGGCUGAUUCAAACCGGGGGGUUUUGGAAUGAGUUGGAGGCAGUAUUUUCCCUUGUCAAGUUGAUCAGAGAGAUGGUUCAGGAGAUUGCAGCUGACAGGCCAUUAAUUGGGCAGUGCCUACCUCUUUGGGAGGAGUUGAAGGGGAGAGUGAAGGACUGGUGUGCCAAAUUUAACAUUACCGAGGGACCCGUCGAAAAAAUAGCUGAAAAGCGAUUCAGAAAAAACUACCACCCAGCAUGGUCGGCUGCAUUUAUACUGGACCCCCUUUACUUGAUGAGGGACACGAGUGGAAAAUACCUUCCACCAUUCAAGUGUUUGACGCAUGAGCAGGAGAAGGAUGUCGAUAAGCUCAUAACCAGGCUGGUUUCCAGGGAAGAAGCUCAUGUUGCAUUGAUGGAGCUCAUGAAAUGGAGGUCAGAAGGGCUCGAUCCUCUAUAUGCUCAAGCCGUUCAGGUAAAACAGCGAGAUCCUGUUACCGGAAAGAUGAAAAUUGCAAACCCACAAAGCAGUAGACUUGUGUGGGAAACUUGCUUAAGUGAGUUUAAGUGUCUGGGUAAGGUUGCAGUGAGGGUCCUCUUCCUCCAUGCAACGUCUUGCGCGUUCAAGUGUAGUUGGUCUUCCAUGAAAUGGGUUUGGGUCCAAAGACACCCAAGGGUAGGCCUGGAAAGGGCUAAAAAAAUGAUAUAUAUUGCAUCUCAUGCAAAGCUUGAAAGGCGGGAUUUUUCGAAUGAGGAAGAAAAGGAUGCAGAGCUGUUUGCAGUGGCAGGCAGUGAUGGUGAUGUGCUCAAUGAGAUCUUUUUCGAUGCAUCCUCAGUAGUAAUCUGUUUGGCUUGCCAUGAUUAUUAAUCUUGAGCAAAGUGGAAGCAAGAAGAGCUGUCAGUAUGAGGAGGAACAUAAGAUGGCUGAAAAGGAUAUUGCAACAAACUUGAAUUUUGGAUGUACAUUUUGGUGAAUAUUUUUCACUAAAAACCAGCAGGUUGGUGAUUCUAGAGGUGUUGAUAUUAUUUGCUUGCAGUUGUCAUGUACCUUUGUGCAGUGAUGUGGUGCUCUGAGCAUGGGGCAUUGCACUCUAUAUCUCACACCUUUGGAUGGUUAUCUCAGUAGAUUUUUUCAAUAAACCCUGUCCUACCGUGUCUUAUUAUUGGAACCCCAUCAAAGCAGUUCUCCUCUCUCUCUCUCUCUCUCUCUCUCUCUCUCUCUCUCUCUCUCUCUCUCAUUUUUUGUGCUUUAAAUUUUCCCACGCGCCUUGAGCAGUAAAAGGUGAAAUUUACGAAGUGGGUGUUGAGUAAAAAGUGAAGUAUUAGUUUCUCUUCCUAGGCGAAGCAGUAGUAGAGUAGAAUGAGCGUAUUUGCCUUCUCUACUCAAAUCGGUGAAGAGACAAUUGAUCCUGUCGGCAAGGUUGAGCAAUGCUGACUGCUCACCAACUAGAAAGGAAAGCUCUUUCACUCGUAUGGUGAAAUGAGUUGAGACAUGCUUCUCCAUUUUUCCCCGUGGCUUCCAGGAGGGUCUUCUGCUCUUCCCUGUUCGCCCCAUGGUAUUGAAGGUCCCAAAUAAAGUCUGGAAAUUUGCUGCUAUAGAGCAACUCCCUGAGAGAUUCAAAGAUCUUCAUGGUUAGACUGUGCACACCCAUAAGAGUAUAGCAUGUUGUCAAAGAUUUCCUUAUCUUUUUAACAGUACCAGGCAAUAAUGAACUUUCAUGAUCGUAAAUGAGGUCGUACUGGCAAUAAAGAUCAGAAACAUUUGAGAAAAUCCCAACUCAGAUGGAUGCAAAGUUCCACCAAAUGAUUUUAUUACACCACAUGAGUUGAACCAUGAAGAGUUCAAAUCUCUCAUGGAGUUACCUUUAUACCAUGUUACCCGAGAGAGAUUACUACAUUUUAUUUUGUCAUGGAUUACUCUAAGUUAGAGGUUUAAAAUACAGCCUUGUCUUUUCCAAAAAUAAAUAAAUAGUUUGGCUGUUGAUAUUCCAUUUAUGAUCAUGCUUGAUUCUACUGAGGUCUCAUAUAUACCUGCUUGAGAAAUGAAAAUGUCGGUGUUAUGGUGGAA